RNAcentral lists this ribosomal RNA (635 nucleotides) under uncultured bacterium. RNAcentral describes it as "bacterial SSU rRNA". It matches the Rfam family "Bacterial small subunit ribosomal RNA", at positions 168 to 817 of the family's 1533-position model. The record is from RNAcentral.
ACCGGAUAUUAUGAGAUUCUCGCAUGAGAAACUUAUGAAAGCUAUAUGCGCCAAGAGAGAGCCUUGCGUUCCAUUAGCUAGUUGGUGGGGUAACGGCCCACCAAGGCGACGAUGGAUAGCCGGCCUGAGAGGGUGAACGGCCACAAGGGGACUGAGACACGGCCCUUACUCCUACGGGAGGCAGCAGUGGGGAAUAUUGGACAAUGGGCCACAAGCCUGAUCCAGCAAUUCUGUGUGCACGAUGAAGGUCUUCGGAUUGUAAAGUGCUUUCAGUUGGGAAGAAGAAAGUGACGGUACCAACAGAAGAAGCGACGGCUAAAUACGUGCCAGCAGCCGCGGUAAUACGUAUGUCGCAAGCGUUAUCCGGAUUUAUUGGGCGUAAAGCGCGUCUAGGCGGAAAAAUAAGUCUGAUGUUAAAAUGCGGGGCUCAACUCCGUAUUGCGUUGGAAACUGUUUUUCUAGAGUACUGGAGAGGUGGGCGGAACUACAAGUGUAGAGGUGAAAUUCGUAGAUAUUUGUAGGAAUGCCGAUGGAGAAGUCAGCUCACUGGACAGAUACUGACGCUGAAGCGCGAAAGCGUGGGGAGCAAACAGGAUUAGAUACCCUGGUAGUCCACGCCGUAAACGAUGAUCACU